GCCUAGAUAGCUCAGUUGGUUAAGAGUGUGGUGCUGAUAACACCAAGGUUGCAGGUUCGAUACCUGUGUGGGAUA
Molecule: transfer RNA, 75 nt
Filed under: Podarcis lilfordi (Lilford's wall lizard)
Lineage: Eukaryota; Metazoa; Chordata; Lepidosauria; Squamata; Lacertidae
Description: tRNA.Ile
Rfam family: tRNA (bases 8-67)
About the family: Transfer RNA (tRNA) molecules are approximately 80 nucleotides in length. Their secondary structure includes four short double-helical elements and three loops (D, anti-codon, and T loops). Further hydrogen bonds mediate the characteristic L-shaped molecular structure. tRNAs have two regions of fundamental functional importance: the anti-codon, which is responsible for specific mRNA codon recognition, and the 3' end, to which the tRNAs corresponding amino acid is attached (by aminoacyl-tRNA synthetases). tRNAs cope with the degeneracy of the genetic code in two manners: having more than one tRNA (with a specific anti-codon) for a particular amino acid; and 'wobble' base-pairing, i.e. permitting non-standard base-pairing at the 3rd anti-codon position.
Source: RNAcentral